RNAcentral lists this long non-coding RNA (357 nucleotides) under Mustela putorius furo (domestic ferret). RNAcentral's name for it is "lncRNA (ENSMPUG00000025518.1)". The record is from RNAcentral. Lineage: Eukaryota; Metazoa; Chordata; Mammalia; Carnivora; Mustelidae.
UCUUAAUCUCCUCUCUUUCAUACUUUGAUUGCUUGAUCUUUUUGGUGAUAACAGAAUGGUAGCUAAUUCUGGGUAAAAAUUCAUUAACAGGCCCCCGGCCAGCAGCAAGUAGAGGUGAUAACAGUACCAGAUGAAAGUGGAGGGGAAGCUGCAGGACCACUCCAUGUUCCGUGUCCAGAUUCACCUCUUCAGAAAACAGAAACAGCACCACUCCACUACACCGAUACGAGAUUUCUGCCAACAGUUUUGAACCCUGGGCCAACUUGGUUCUGACAGCACCACUGACCUGCCACCAAGGAUGUUGUGAGGGGUCAGGAAUAUCUGCAGACCAUUUAAGGAAUGGGUGAAAGACUCCGG